RNAcentral lists this long non-coding RNA (1002 nucleotides) under Lepidothrix coronata (blue-crowned manakin). Its description in RNAcentral is "lncRNA (ENSLCOG00000000118.1)". The record is from RNAcentral. Lineage: Eukaryota; Metazoa; Chordata; Aves; Passeriformes; Pipridae.
AUGACAGCAGCUCUGUGGGGGCCAGUUUGGUGCCGCUGCCGGCGCCCCGUGGGUGGGUGCCGGGGCCACCCAGCUCCUGCUGUCCCUGCUGUGUCCCACCCCACGGCCGUCCCUCCCGCAGGUGAUCAAGAGGAGGAACGUCCGGAACGAGGACAGCUGCAAGAAGCCCGAGCGGCGCCGGCUGAAGACCACGCGCCUCAAGGAGUACACCAUCAAGUCCCACUCCAGCAUGCCCCCCAACAACACCUACAUCAACUUCGAGCGCUUCUCCAAGGUCAUGGAGGAGGUGGCCGCGGCCGAGGAGACCCUGCGGGAGCUGGAGAGGAACAAGAAGUCCUUCCAGGAGGACAUCGAGGCGCUGCGCUCCAUCUACGAGGAGAAGGAGUCGUGGUACAAGGAGGAGAACGAGAGCAUCAGCCAGGACCUGCGGCAGAUCCGGCAGGAGCUGCAGAAGACGGAGGCGCUGAAGAAGCAGGCGCAGGAGGAGACCAAGAGCGUGGUGCAGGCGGCCAACGGCCUCAAGCGGCGCUACCGCAAGCUGGAGAACCACUACGAGGCCCUGGCCAAGCAGGUGGCCUCGGAGAUGAAGUUUGUGGAGGAGCUGGUGUGGUCCAUCGAGCAGGAGAAGCAGAGCGGCGACGGCGACGGCAGCAUCCGCUAAGCCGGGCGGCUCCGGCCCUUCCCGACGCCCCGCUCGCCGAGGAGCCUCCGGUCGGUCAGUGUUCCCCGGCUCUGGGGGGGUGUGUGGGGGGGUUGUGCCUCCCUGGAGCCCCCACCUCGGGGGGCUGGGGCUGUGCUCCCCUGGGGUUUGGCUUCCUGCGUUGUGGCUCCUGCUUGGCUCAUGGCCCCGGGCUCCUCAUCACUCCCACUGUGCUUGGGGACACUUCUCGUCACUCCCACUGUGCUUGGGGACACUUCUCAUCACUCCCACCACACUUGGGGACACUUCUCAUCACUCCCACCACACUUGGGGACACUUCUCAUCACUCCCACCGUGCUUAG